Molecule: long non-coding RNA, 1616 nt
Organism: Astatotilapia calliptera (eastern happy)
Lineage: Eukaryota; Metazoa; Chordata; Actinopteri; Cichliformes; Cichlidae
Source: Ensembl
GGACACUGUUGCUGAAUCUCUGUACUCACGCGCACACAGUGCCAAACAGCAACUGCUGAUCCCAGUAAGGCAAACUGUUCCUCACUUGAACCUGCGAAAUUUUUUUUUUUUUUUUUUUUUUUUUUUUUUUUGUUGUUGUGUGGGUUUUUUUUUUUUUUUUUUUUUUUUUUAAUCAAAGCCAUACCUGUUAAUUUGUUUGUGUUUACAUGCAUCAUCAUCACUUUAGGUAAAAGUGGGAACACACUCAGAUUGCACUUAAUUCAAUUCCUUAUAGUGUUUUAAGUUUUUACCCGUUCAAAUCUAGUUAUUCUUGAGGCCUAGACGUCCCUGUUGUCCUAUUUUAAUGUAAGUUAUUCCAGAUUGAGGUAAAAGAAAUCGUUAGAUUAGGACAAGAUGAAGGAAAUGAUGUCAGUCUGAGCUGCUCAGAUCGCAUUUCCUCACCAAAGGUCAGUACAACCUGUGGUCUGUGCAACCCCUUUGAAACACUGGAAUCAGGUUUUAGUAAGCUUGUGUUCUUAUCAUUAUUAUCAUUGUUUAGAAUGGACAGAACUGGUUAGUGUUUAAAUGCUUUUGCAGGAUCUGUAGCCCAACGUUAUAUUUAAAGUCUUCCUUAGGUUCUCAUACUUGCGUUGCUUCAGUGACAGACUGCAUGCUUUAAGGCCAGCUGUCAGAUGCAGAUUCAACGCAACCACUGAGCUCUGGGUUUAACCGACACUGCUGUGAGGUGCGAGGAGAUGUUUAAAAGUGCCAUAUGUUGAUGUCCGUUUGUGUUUAAUUCUGCUUCUAGUUGUGAAUCUAAAUGGAGGGCUCAUAAAUCUGGCACUCGUCGCCCCUCCCCUCCAUCCACAUCCUGUUGAGUCAGUUCUUGGCUCGCUGCCUUGGCCUUUCCGCUGUGGAUCAGUGGCAUAAAGACCGAAUUGUGUUUGAUAAUGGAAUUCAAAGCAGGGACCCGAAUAUUAAACCGCAGACUGAGACUCGAUGUUCGGUACUUUUGCCCUUUCCCACGAUUGGCUCCAGCAGAGAGUCCGCCACAUGUUCGAGCGUAUUCUAAAGUUUGCAUUCCUGCAGCUCCAGGCGGGGAACACGUGGCGCUCAGUAUUUUUUAUGUCCUUGGUGUGUUUUCAAGUAUUUGCGGGUAUAUCAUUAAAGACUGAUCACUGUAAUGAAGGGAUACUCCACUUUACUUUUGUACUUCAGAGUUUUAGAGUUAUAGUAGCAGUUUUAAGAGUUAUAUUUAGAUUUUUAUUGAAUAGAGAAUGAAAGAUGUUGAGUGUAAAUGGUAGUUUUUAUUCUAAGUAAAUUGCCUUUCUUCAUGUUCAACCAACAGAACUAAUGAGCUGAAUGGUUACAAGGUCAAACUGAACACAUUUCGUUAUUUACUUGGGCUCAGAGUCCGUCGGGCUCUCAUUUGCUUUGUAAUUUAUUGAAAAGGAAGCCUGUGUGUGCUCCUUUAAUGUCUUCAUGAACCGGGUGAAAUGAACCGAAUCGGGCCGUCUCGCUCAAGGCCCAGACCGUGGCAGCUUGUUCUGAAGUGUAAUGUCUUUGUUCAUUUCUGUAGGCAAAUCUGUGAUUGUGUGUAAUUAUUACAAUGCAAUGUUUCAUGUAAAUAAAAUGGG